GUAACACGUGUGCAACCAACCCCGUACCGGGAGAUAACCCGCGGAAACGUGGACUAACACCCCAUAACACCUUUCCCCCGCAUGGGGGGGAGUUUAAAACCCCGGUGGUACGGGACGGGCACGCGCGACAUUAGGUAGUUGGCGGGGUAACGGCCCACCAAGCCGACGAUGUCUAGGGGUUCUGAGAGGAAGGUCCCCCACACUGGAACUGAGACACGGUCCAGACUCCCACGGGAGGCAGCAGUGAGGAAUAUUGGUCAAUGGGCGAGAGCCUGAACCAGCCAAGUCGCGUGAGGGAAGAAUGGUCUAUGGCCUGUAAACCUCUUUUGUCAAGGAAGAAUAAGCGGCACGAGUGCCACCUUGCCAGUACUUGACGAAUAAGCAUCGGCUAACUCCGUGCCAGCAGCCGCGGUAAUACGGGGGAUGCGAGCGUUAUCCGGAUUUAUUGGGUUUAAAGGGCGCGUAGGCGGGACGGCAAGUCAGCGGUAAAAGACUGCAGCUAAACUGUAGCACGCCGUUGAAACUGUCGACCUGGAGACGAGACGAGGGAGGCGGAACAAGUGAAGUAGCGGUGAAAUGCAUAGAUAUCACUUGGAACCCCGAUAGCGAAGGCAGCUUCCCAGGCUCGAUCUGACGCUGAUGCGCGAGAGCGUGGGUAGCGAACAGGAUUAGAUACCCUGGUAGUCCACGCCGUAAACGAUGCUCACUGGAUCUUGGCGAUACACGGCCAGGGUUCAAGCGAAAGUAUUAAGUGAGCCACCUGGGGAGUACGUCGGCAACGAUGAAACUCAAAGGAAUUGACGGGGGCCCGCACAAGCGGAGGAACAUGUGGUUUAAUUCGAUGAUACGCGAGGAACCUUACCCGGGUUUAAAUGCAGGUUGCAUGAGGUGGAAACACCUCUUUCCCUCGGGACUACCUGCAAGGUGCUGCAUGGUUGUCGUCAGCUCGUGCCGUGAGGUGUCGGGUUAAGUCCCAUAACGAGCGCAACCCCUAUCGCCAGUUGCCAUCGGUUCAAGCCGGGCACUCUGUCGAGACUGCCACCGUAAGGUGCGAGGAAGGCGGGGAUGACGUCAAAUCAGCACGGCCCUUACACCCGGGGCGACACACGUGUUACAAUGGCCGGUACAGAGGGCAGCCACGGGGCGACCCGGAGCGAAUCUCUAAAGCCGGUCGUAGUUCGGACUGGAGUCUGCAACCCGACUCCACGAAGUUGGAUUCGCUAGUAAUCGCGCAUCA
RNAcentral lists this ribosomal RNA (1237 nucleotides) under metagenome. RNAcentral describes it as "bacterial SSU rRNA". It matches the Rfam family "Bacterial small subunit ribosomal RNA", at positions 110 to 1351 of the family's 1533-position model. The record is from RNAcentral.